This 479-nucleotide ribosomal RNA is filed under the name uncultured bacterium. Its description in RNAcentral is "bacterial SSU rRNA". It matches the Rfam family "Bacterial small subunit ribosomal RNA", at positions 29 to 475 of the family's 1533-position model. The record is from RNAcentral.
AACGAACGCUGGCGGCGUGGAUUAGGCAUGCAAGUCGAACGAGAAUCUGGAGGUUCAAGUUUUCGGACAAGAACUUUCGGAGGAAAGUGGCGGAAGGGUGAGUACAACAUGGAUAAUCUACCUUCAAGUUGGGUAUAGCUUCCCGAAAGGGGAGAUAAUCCCGAAUGUGGUGAUCCGGCGCCUGUCGGAGAAUCCAAAGGUGGGGACCGCAAGGCCUGCCGCUUGAAGAUGAGUCCGUGCACUAUCAGCUAGUUGGUGAGGUAAUGGCUCACCAAGGCGAUGACGGUUAGCUGGUCUGAGAGGAUGGUCAGCCACACUGGGACUGAGAUACUGCCCAGACUCCUACGGGAGGCUGCAGUCGAGAAUCAUUCGCAAUGGGCGCAAGCCUGACGGUGCGACGUCGCGUGGAGGAUGAAGGUCUUCGGAUUGUAAACUCCUGUCAUGUGGGAUAAAUGGCCAGGGCAUGAAUAGUGCCUUGG